RNAcentral lists this long non-coding RNA (822 nucleotides) under Triticum aestivum (bread wheat). RNAcentral's name for it is "long non-coding RNA (TAES_LNC008931)". Lineage: Eukaryota; Viridiplantae; Streptophyta; Magnoliopsida; Poales; Poaceae. The record is from RNAcentral.
GUGUGCGUUCCCGGCGAAGGCUUGCUGGGGCUGGCCGGGAUCUGAGGUUGGUUGAUAUUUUCAUGUAAAGAUUGACACUCCUUCUUUUUCGUUUUUAUCUUCUUCCCAGUUCACGUGCAGGGACUAGAUUGCUGGCUAGAUCUUCCUAACUGAACCACUUGAUGUUAAACUCUGUACGUGUAUAGCUAGAUUGCCUGCUAGAUCUUGCUUUAUAAAUUAUUCAUUGCCUUCCAUACAAAGGUUCUGGUUUUGACUUUUGUUUCAGAUAUUAAUUUUUGUUCUAGCUCUUUUUUGUACAGACAAUGUGUGUGCUGUUUAAACGAUGAUUAUGACAUUGCGAGGCCUGGUACAGAUUGUAUUUAUAAUGUAUUUAUUUCCAGUUUUGGUUAAGAGUUGUUACUUGAUACAACGUGCUUUUCAAUUGCAGGUCCAUGAUGCAGUUCCACCUCUCUCCGUAGCACAAAACCUUUCUUGCCACACAUUAUGCAAGUCAUCCUCAUUGAUCAUACAUUUAUAAUUUCUUCACGGUUCAGUAUAUCACAUAUAUUAGGAUGUUAAAGCCACUCAUGGGUUGGAUGCUAUAGCAUAAGGAAAAUUGAUAGCCAGCCAUGAUCGUCCAUCCAUCAAUUUAGUUUGCUUUUUCUUCUGUUGUUAGUUUCUACUACUUUGCUAGCUAAGUGAUGUCUAUCUGAAGCUGUGAACCUUAUGAACCCUGAUCUGAAUCUUGGUGUUUGCGAAUUCUGAAUGAAGGGCAUGGAACCAGUCCUUCUAAAUGAAUUUGCUGAUGAGUGUGUUGCAUUGUUGAUUUCAUGGUUAUUCUUC